AAUUACCACCGAGCGGCGGGUAG
Molecule: small nuclear RNA, 23 nt
Filed under: Arabidopsis thaliana (thale cress)
Lineage: Eukaryota; Viridiplantae; Streptophyta; Magnoliopsida; Brassicales; Brassicaceae
Description: snRNA_04384
Source: RNAcentral